AAAUAACCUCCCACCAAUAGAGCUGGCUUUUGACAAUCAUAAAUCUUGCAAGCAUUUUAGCCAGCCAUCUACCACUGAUCAAGUGUGACAAUUUCAGUGAAUGAGGCAUGCUUCUCAUUGCUUUGAAAUUGUAAGAACGCUUGUUCCACAUAUGCAUGAUUUGGAACAUACAAUGUAUAUUUUGUUUGACGCAGAAUAUAUGUUGCAGCUGUAUGACAGCAGUGAUUGUUGCUUUUGUGGUUGUAAAAGUGUUAAAAACCCCAGACAGGCUGCUUUUUGGCUGAAGUAGCCCCUAUCUCUUUCAUAUGCUAUUGAGGGUGUCCUGCUGCACAGGACUUCUUGUAUUGUGGAUUCUGUUGGGGGUGGGGUUAGAUAUAUGCAACCUUCUUUUUUGGGAGAAAAUUGAUCUUUGCACCAGGCUUGCCUUUCUUUCUUUUUAUCACAUGCUGAAGUAACAUGAAUCCCAAAUGUUAUGAUUACUUUAUUCUCGGUGAUCUUGUUGAAGCUUUGUAAACUAAAAUAAUAUUUUAUGGAUAUAGGUGAGUUAUAAAGUUCACGUAGAAGUAGUUUGAAAGUUAUUGAAGAAUGGGAGUGUUGGUGGACAUGAGAGGACUUGCCAACAUCUACCCUUUUUAUGAUCUUCAAGAUCACUAGUUGAUAUAGAUUUUCAAAUUCUUCGAGUAUACUUUUGGUAAUCUGCAGAUGUUCUUAAUUACAUCUUUUGGUCUCAUUAGAUUCCAUAUGCUGUAGUGAUAUCCAUUUUAUGAUUGUAAGCAACAUCCACUUUUGGUUCCAGCUAUAAAAUUUAUCUACUACAGCUAAAAAGUUCUGUGUAAUAGCCUACUAUCAAUUUCUUACUCUCUUUGAGUAGCUAAAUCUUCAACUAACAUAGUCGUUUUAUGAUCUAUAAAACUAAAUCUAAUUACAUUUUAUGUUGCUGUCGUGAGACCGUUUACUUGAUUGGCAGCUCAUACAUUGCCAUAAACUGGCAGGAUAUUUAUUGUAAGGUGUGAUCUUAGCAUCUUUAGGUGUUCCAACUCCCAAGGCUAGAAGAAGCUACUGGAAGUCCUGUUGAUUUCCCAAGUUCCAGACAAAGUUUUCCUGUUUACAUGAUAGAAUAUUUUAUAUUUGCCUUAGUGUGGUCCAUUAUAUGUGGAGAGAAAUUUUAUGUAAAACUUAGGCUUGGCAAAUUUACCUGUCAAAAGCAGUAGUUAUAUAUAGCAAACAUUGUUGUCCUUGCAGCAGGUGACUAGACAUGUGAAUGAUAGUGUUUAUCAUUACAAACAAUAGCAAUUUAUUUGAUUUUAUUAUGUUUUGGAAGGAAUGUUAUCAUUCUUCAUCUAUGAGUUAGCAAAUAUUUUUAGUUUCCAGUAUUUUGUGCUUUUUAUUUCUGCCGUCUAAUAUAAUACUUUGCACUUUGCAGGUCCACACCUAAUGGGAAAACCAAAACAAAGACCACUGACGAGUCAGGAUGGCUCUCUGAGUGAUAUGGAUUUGGAUGGAGAAGAUAGUUGGGUUAUUGUUAAAAAGCAGAGAAUCACUAUUUUGAUACCUGCCCUGCCUAAUGCCAGAAAAUCCACAAUGCCGAAGCCAGGAUCAAGUAAGCUGGAAACCAUGCCCUUAAAAGCUGUAAAUAAUACAUCAACAGUGCCAGUUGAGACAUCUAACAGGAUGCCUUCAGUUGAUGAACAAGAGAAGGUGACAUCAAUGGCUCCUAGUAGAGGUACUAUGAUGUCUAAAAGAAUUCCUACACAGCACAUAUUGGCAGUACACAAGCGACCAAGACUAAAUGUAGAAAUAGAACCUGAAAAGCUCGAUAGAGCCCAAACUUUUAAACCUCAUAAUAUGCUUGGGGUAUCAAACAAUUCAAGAACAAUCAAGCAGCCAAGACUAUUGCAUGGGCAAGGGCAUUUCCUUGAUGGGAGCAAGCUGCUAAAUCAGAGGCUAAGGGCAUCACUGCUUGAGAAGAAGCUUCAAAAGGCAGGUGGAUUGAGCAGGUGGCUAGCAUCAAUUGGACUGGGGCAAUUUGUGAAUAUUUUUCAGGGUAGGAGUGUCAGCAAGUUUCAGUUGGUUACUUUAACCAUGAAGAAGCUGAAGGAUAUGGGUGCAGAUGCUGUAGGCCCCCGAAGAAAACUGAUGCAUGCUAUAGACUGCAUUUGCCAGCCUUACUGUUUUGAAGCCUGCUAAAUGUUCACUGAAUCUUGCACCAUCUAGCGAGAUAGGUGAAAGGCGUGACCGCUGCUCUUUGCAUAUGCAUUCUUGUUGUAGAUUCUUCUAGUUGCAACAGGCAAGUCUUCACCAGUCGUGUCAUGGUAAUUGAUAUACAGGAGUGAAAAAUCAAAUUUGAGGCCUUGUUUAUCAUAUUUGUAGUCUGGACAAUUGAUUGAGGAUCAAACAUCUAGUUUUUUCCCGAAAUCUUUUAAACAGGUUUGUGCAAUGUGAAAUGGGUUGAAUUACUCGGGGGUCCCUAGUUCUGCCAUUGUUUGCUAAUUUAUCCUUGGAUUUUGACAGUUAUAGUAGUUAGUCCCUAACUUUGUAUUUUGCCAAUCCCUCUGUCCAUUAGUCCCUAACUUUGUAUUUUGCCAAUCCCUCUGUCCAUUUUUAAAGCUUUUUGCGUAAUUGCAAAGACUAAAAUACCUUCGUUUCCAUUAAACGCAACCCUCUCCCUCCUCCCCUCCUUCCUAACAUUAAAACGCCUUGUACGAGCAACUGAAGCGACUAGUCAUGGAAAGUUUUUAGCCUUACAUUGCUUCCUUGCUCUGAUGAAAAUUUGAAGCCAUACUUUUCCCUUCUUUCCCUUCAUCCACUGAUUUCUUGAUAGCUUGAAUCUUUGAGGCUAUCUUAUGGCGCAACAUCAAAUUCUUGGCAAAGCGAGCUAUUUGAUGCAAAUGGCCAUGCUGUUCUUGCCACAUGAAACGUGUAUUCGUGCUGUCCACAUUUUUCUUUAUCCAACCUUGCGCCUACAUCUCUCAGGAAUUAUUUAAUGGUUUCAAGUUCAUCUUCAACGUCUUCAAGUUGUUUAUGGAUAUCUCUUAGUAGUCUCACCUCUCCGUUGGCAACAAAUCCAACUUGUAAAUGAUGUAAUCCACAAGAGCUUGCAUGUUUGAUCCAAAUUGUCUACGAUUCAUUGUGUUUAUGUAUUUUCUUGAUUGAAAUUCUGCAAUUUGUUGGAAAA
RNAcentral lists this unclassified non-coding RNA (3175 nucleotides) under Hevea brasiliensis (rubber tree). Lineage: Eukaryota; Viridiplantae; Streptophyta; Magnoliopsida; Malpighiales; Euphorbiaceae. The record is from RNAcentral.